Long non-coding RNA from Sycon ciliatum, 653 nucleotides. RefSeq lists it as uncharacterized. The record is from RefSeq and is a predicted model, not a curated record. Lineage: Eukaryota; Metazoa; Porifera; Calcarea; Leucosolenida; Sycettidae. The transcript has 4 exons.
UAUGCCUUGUUUUCUUAGAGUAUCAGUGCAGACACCACCCUUGUGCAACUGGAUACCGAUGCCAAGCAAGGAGAGUUAAUAAUAAUAAAUUUCACCAAGACUGCAAUGAUAUCAAUGAAUGCCAAGAGGGCACACACAACUGCCCACACGAGUGUACUAAUACAGUUGGAGGCUUCCACUGCACUGAUUUCUGCAAUGAAACUCCCUGCGAAGAUGAUGAAACAUGCGAAGUGAAGAUGGUCUAUAACAAGCCAAUGCAAGUAUGCAGAAGAGUCGGUCGCGCGUAAAGCUUCAAGGUGGGCUCCACUCCACCGAGACCGUAUUUUCACAUAUCCUAAAUGUUUGCAAGCCACAAUAUUGUCUUCAAUUCUCCUUCUUUUCAUCUUCCAUCUUUGGUCCAAUGUCAGUCAAGCAUUUCAAGCCGCCUUUGCAAGGAUGUGGUCAUGUGCAAUGUGUGCUGGGCCGCGGAUUGUGUGUGUGUGUGUGUUUUUUUUAAUGAUUGUGAUGUGAGCGAGUUGUUAGCCAGGGGGUCGGCAGAUAAUAAUACAGUCAUCUCUCUUUAGCUAAUCCAGCACUUUAUAAACCAGCACAAUUUGUUGUCACCAAAAUGUCCUUUUCAUGCACAUUGCAGCAGUAAAUCAGAUCUUCUAAUC